AAGAGGAGCCGAGCCCACUUGCCUGUGUACAGCUCCGGGAGCGCGACGCUGUCACUGCGGUCACGCUCCCGGCUCCCAGCAGCAGAACACACAUGACGGAGGCAGCAUAGUGCGCCAGCGCGGUGCGGCGCUAUAGUAACGGGCGGCAAUAGCGGGGGCGGGCGGUGACGGAUAAGAAGUCCUUUCCUCCCUGGGUGAAUGUGCCACCCCCGGACAUUGGGGUGGGUAUGAGAAGGGAGGGGGAGUCAGUGAGCGACGCAGCAGUGAAGGAGCAAGAGGUAUGUUUUGUGAUAUAGGCCAUGCACCGGGCUGGGAUCUGUAGUUCCACAAAAGGUCCCAAUAGCAACAAUAGUUUAGCACUGGAAGCUGGAGCCAAGGAACGUAGCUAGAAUCAGUGACGUUGUUUGGGGCAAAUGCUAAGUGAACACAGAGUCCUUUUAUCCCCCUUGAAUGGUGAUUGGAAGCGUGGGUCACCUGAGUGGAGCGGAAAUUGUGGUUGGUGGACUUCCAUAUUGCUGGAGAGCUGCACACCAGCAUGCAGGAUCUCCUUCCUGAACGCCCGCACGGUCCUUAUAUUCCCGAUACGUUCUUCUGCCAGCUGGAGACAGGAACAGCGGACACACAGUCUGAGCAGGUUUUACGUACGCAUCAUAACAUUCAUCAAGACACUGAUUUAUUAUCCAAACAGGGGGAA
Pseudophryne corroboree (corroboree frog) is the source of this 694-nucleotide long non-coding RNA. RefSeq lists it as uncharacterized. The record is from RefSeq and is a predicted model, not a curated record. The transcript is spliced from 3 exons. NCBI's taxonomy places the organism in Eukaryota, Metazoa, Chordata, Amphibia, Anura, Myobatrachidae.